This is a non-coding RNA of Pristionchus pacificus, 58 nucleotides long. The record is from Rfam. NCBI's taxonomy places the organism in Eukaryota, Metazoa, Nematoda, Chromadorea, Rhabditida, Neodiplogasteridae.
AAGCUGACGGGGUGUAAUGACAAUCAUAUGACGAUGUCAAUGCACCGCGUUGGCUCCA